Onychomys torridus (southern grasshopper mouse) is the source of this 344-nucleotide long non-coding RNA. RefSeq lists it as uncharacterized. The transcript has 3 exons. The record is from RefSeq and is a predicted model, not a curated record. NCBI's taxonomy places the organism in Eukaryota, Metazoa, Chordata, Mammalia, Rodentia, Cricetidae.
UGGAAGUAGGGCGCUGCAAUCCAACCAGGCCCAGCAGAGGGAAGAAAGGGUUUCAGACUUCAAAGGCAUUCCCAGAAGUCUUGUGAGAGCAAGUAGAUUAUGGUGUCUGUGUACUUGGAAAGCUAUGAAAGAUGCAGACUGCUCAGGAUCACCGAGAUGAAUCUGGACAAGUGUCCUGCUCUGGAGAUAAGAAUUAACACGGUUUUCACAGUACCAGCUCACACUGCAGCAGAUGCUGCAGGAGGGAAUAAUUUACAUUAUACUUAAACGUCCAUCCUCGAAAACUCAAGGCACCAUGGAUGCGACACGUCCUGUCGCCGAUUAGAUGGACAUCAAAUGCUAUA